Molecule: long non-coding RNA, 212 nt
Organism: Drosophila arizonae
Lineage: Eukaryota; Metazoa; Arthropoda; Insecta; Diptera; Drosophilidae
Gene: Patronin
Source: RefSeq, a predicted model, not a curated record
GCUGUCAAACACUUGCAUUCAGAGAAAAUUUUGGAAGAGCAGCAGCUAGUUGUUAUUCGAUCUUAGUGCAUUUGUAAUUAAAUAGAAAGUGUUAAAUUGAAUGCGAACCGAGCGCGUAGCGUGUAAAAUGCAUUUGUAUGAAUCCAGGCGGCUGCUCAACGGCUGAAGUGAAAAUUCCAAGCCAAAGAGAGAAAAAAGAAGCAGAGGAAGAA